UUGGCCCCUAGUGUAACGGUAGCACGACAGACUCUGGAUCUGUUUGUCAAGGUUCGAAUCCUUGGGGGCCAGG
RNAcentral lists this transfer RNA (73 nucleotides) under Phycisphaerae bacterium. Its description in RNAcentral is "tRNA-Gln". It matches the Rfam family "tRNA". From Rfam's summary of the family: Transfer RNA (tRNA) molecules are approximately 80 nucleotides in length. RNAcentral also lists the same sequence under 1 other name. The record is from RNAcentral. Lineage: Bacteria; Pseudomonadati; Planctomycetota; Phycisphaerae.